GUGCCUCCUUUGGCAGCACAUAUACUAAAACUAGAAUGAUAUAGAGAAGACUAGCAUGGCCCCUGUGCAAGGAUGAAACACAAAUUUGUGAAACAUUUCAUAUUUUU
This is a small nuclear RNA of Mustela putorius furo (domestic ferret), 107 nucleotides long. Lineage: Eukaryota; Metazoa; Chordata; Mammalia; Carnivora; Mustelidae. The record is from Ensembl.